GACGAACGCUGGCGGCGUGCCUAACACAUGCAAGUCGAACGGAAACGCCCUGCUUUUGUGCUGUGCCCGAGUGCCGAACGCGUGAGGAUCACGUGUGUAUCCUGCCCUUGUCUUUGGGAUAACUUCAGGAAACUGGGGUUAAUAUCGUACAGCAUACCCUGCUGCAUUGUGGGGGUUGGAUAUUUUCGGCGGUUGGGGAUGGAUUCGCGGCUUAUCGGCUUGUUGGUUGGGUAGUGGCUUACCCAGGCAUUGACGGGUAGCCGGCCUGUGGGGGUGACAGGCCACAUAGGGACUGAGGGGCGGCCCAGACGGCGACGGGAGGAAGCAGGGGGGAAGAUUGCACAAGGGGCGAAGGCCGGAUGCAGCAACGCCGCGUGCGGGAAGACGGCUUUCGGGUUAUAAACCACUUGCGGGUGUAAAGAAGCGUGAGUGACGGUAACGGGUAGAAAAGGAACGGCUAACUACGUG
RNAcentral lists this ribosomal RNA (468 nucleotides) under uncultured bacterium. Its description in RNAcentral is "partial 16S ribosomal RNA". It matches the Rfam family "Bacterial small subunit ribosomal RNA", at positions 28 to 507 of the family's 1533-position model. The record is from RNAcentral.